RNAcentral lists this ribosomal RNA (814 nucleotides) under uncultured bacterium. Its description in RNAcentral is "bacterial SSU rRNA". It matches the Rfam family "Bacterial small subunit ribosomal RNA", at positions 8 to 796 of the family's 1533-position model. The record is from RNAcentral.
AGAGUUUGAUCCUGGCUCAGAAUGAACGCUGGCGGCGUGCUUAACACAUGCAAGUCGAACGAGAAAGGGAUUGCUUGCAGUCCCGAGUAGAGUGGCGCACGGGUGAGUAACACGUAGAUAAUCUGCCUUCAAGCCUGGGAUAACUAUUCGAAAGGGUAGCUAAUACCGGAUAAAGUCGAUCUACACAAGUAGAUUGAUGAAAGAUUGCCUCUUCUUGAAAGCAAUUGUUUGGAGAUGAGUUUGCGUACCAUUAGCUUGUUGGUGGGGUAAAGGCCUACCAAGGCAACGAUGGUUAGCUGGUCUGAGAGGAUGAUCAGCCACACUGGAACUGGAACACGGUCCAGACUCCUACGGGAGGCAGCAGUGAGGAAUUUUGCGCAAUGGGGGCAACCCUGACGCAGCAACGCCGCGUGAGUGAAGAAGGCCUUUGGGUCGUAAAGCUCUGUCAACAGGGAAGAAGUUACAAUUGUUUAAUAGAUGGUUGUAUUGACGGUACCUGUGGAGGGAGCGCCGGCUAACUCCGUGCCAGCAGCCGCGGUAAUACGGGGGGCGCAAGCGUUAUUCGGAAUUAUUGGGCGUAAAGGGCGCGCAGGCGGUCUUGUCCGUCAGGUGUGAAAGCUCGGGGCUCAACCCCGGAAGUGCACUUGAAACAGCAAGACUUGAAUACGGGAGAGGAAAGCGGAAUUCCUGGUGUAGAGGUGAAAUUCGUAGAUAUCAGGAGGAACACCGAUGGCGAAGGCAGCUUUCUGGACCGAUAUUGACGCUGAGGCGCGAAGGCGUGGGUAGCAAACGGGAUUAGAUACCCUGGUAGUCG